This 202-nucleotide ribosomal RNA is filed under the name uncultured bacterium. RNAcentral describes it as "partial 16S ribosomal RNA". It matches the Rfam family "Bacterial small subunit ribosomal RNA", at positions 333 to 529 of the family's 1533-position model. The record is from RNAcentral.
AAAAUACGGGAGGCAGCAGCUAAGAAUCUUCCGCAAUGGACGAAAGUCUGACGGAGCGACGCCGUGUGAAUGAAGAAGGCCGAAAGGUUGUAAAAUUCUUUUGCAGAUGAAGAAUAAGAAGAAGAGGGAAUGCUUCUUUGAUGACGGUAGUCAUGCGAAUAAGCCCCGGCUAACUACGUGCCAGCAGCCGCGGUUAAUUUUU